Molecule: long non-coding RNA, 230 nt
Filed under: Nicotiana benthamiana
Lineage: Eukaryota; Viridiplantae; Streptophyta; Magnoliopsida; Solanales; Solanaceae
Description: long non-coding RNA (NBEN_LNC004978)
Source: RNAcentral
GGGGAAGAUUAAGGGUAUAUGAAUAUUUAUCUUUUCCAUGCAUUGGGGAAGAUAAGGAUAUAUGCAUACUUAUUUAUUUAUAUGCAUAUUUUAUUGAAAGGGGGAAUAUAACUUGUAUAUGCAUAUAUAUAUUUUUAUGCAAUUUUAUUUUAAUACUUAUUGCAUAAAUUGAGGGGGAACUCAAUAAUAACUUGUCUUAUAUUUGGCAUAGUUUUUAUAAGGGUAUAUGC